Molecule: ribosomal RNA, 478 nt
Filed under: uncultured bacterium
Lineage: Bacteria
Description: partial 16S ribosomal RNA
Rfam family: Bacterial small subunit ribosomal RNA
Source: RNAcentral
GACGAACGCUGGCGGCGUGCUUAACACAUGCAAGUCGAACGGUAAGGCCCUUCGGGGUACACGAGUGGCGAACGGGUGAGUAACACGUGGGUGAUCUGCCCUGCACUUCGGGAUAAGCCUGGGAAACUGGGUCUAAUACCGGAUAGGACCACUGCCUGCAUGGGUGGUGGUGGAAAGCUUUUGCGGUGUGGGAUGGGCCCGCGGCCUAUCAGCUUGUUGGUGGGGUGAUGGCCUACCAAGGCGACGACGGGUAGCCGGCUUGAGAGGGUGACCGGCCACACUGGGACUGAGAUACUGCCCUGACUCCUACGGGAGGCAGCAGUGGGGAAUAUUGCACAAUGGGCGCAAGCCUGAUGCAGCGACGCCGCGUGAGGGAUGACGGCCUUCGGGUUGUAAACCUCUUUCAGCACCGACGAAGCGCAAGUGACGGUAGGUGCAGAAGAAGGACCGGCCAACUACGUGCCAGCCGCCGCGGUAA